AUUUCCCCUUAUUGGACUCUAUUUCCUCCCUGCUUCCACUUAUAGGAUUCUAUUUCCUCCCUAUUUCCCCUGAUAGGAUUCUAUUUCCUCCCUAUUUCCUCUCAUAGGACUCUAUUUCCUCCCUAUUUCCUUAUAUAGGACUCUGUUUCCUCCCUACUUCCUUUCAUUGGACUCUAUUUCCUCCCUGCUUCCACUUAUUGGACUCUAUUUCCUCCCUAUUUCCCCUUAUAGGAUUCUGUUUCCUCCCUAUUUCCCCUCAUAGGAUUCUAUUUCCUCUCUAUUUCCCCUUGUUGGGUUCUAUUUCCUGUCUAUUCCCAUUUUUUGGCCUAUUUCCACAUUCUACUCCCCCUUCCUCUUCCAUUUCCUCUUCUAUUCCCAUUGUAUUCCCACUUCCUCUUCCGUUUCCCCCCUCCACCCCCA
RNAcentral lists this long non-coding RNA (420 nucleotides) under Phasianus colchicus (ring-necked pheasant). Its description in RNAcentral is "lncRNA (ENSPCLG00000016708.1)". Lineage: Eukaryota; Metazoa; Chordata; Aves; Galliformes; Phasianidae. The record is from RNAcentral.